AGAAAUAGGGUUAAUUGGGCUCAGACCCAGCCCAUGAACGAAAUUGAAAGGGGUAACAGAUUGAAUCACUCACUCACUUCCAUCAUAACUCAACUCAAUCAUCUCUACACCCCAAAUCUCAUAAAAAAUCGCUUCCGCCGAGUCGGGAAUCGCCUCUGAUGGCGGCGGAGCCCUAAACGAAAAAAGUCCACCACAAACACGCUCCUCUCCCCAUCGUCUACCACACCCUAACCUUUAAACCUCUUAGAACCUAUCCUAUGUCGUAGAUUCACCACCAAAUUAGAAAAUACUAAAUAUACUUCAACCAAAAUUAAAUGAUGCACACAUAAAGAAUCAAACAACAAUCAAGGGGAUAUGGUUCGCACAAGCUAUCUCUACCAUGUGGUAUCAAGAAAAGGAAAAAAAUAUGAAGAAUUGAGGAAGCUUAGAGACUUACCUACGGAGCUGAGACUUGCUUCGAUGGAUGUUGCAUAAUAAGCUUGAAGAUGAUAAUUAAGAAACCCAAAGAGGAGAUUACAGAUGCUCAGAUUUGAUGAUAGAUGAGCUUGAACUCCAAAUUGAGUGCUUUUGGAAUUGAACUAGUUGCAUAUAUGCAUGUGUAAUGGAAUGACAUUUGAAUAUAUUUGUGAUGCAUGACUGUACAUAGAAUUGAAUGUGUAUGGCAUUGGAUUGUUAUGGGCUUGUUCAUAUAUGGCAUUGCCCAUAACUAUUCAUUGAGAAUCAAGAAGGUUAAUCAGUUAUAUUUAAUACUAUUGAACCUUUGACCUAA
Lathyrus oleraceus (garden pea) is the source of this 769-nucleotide long non-coding RNA. RefSeq lists it as uncharacterized. Lineage: Eukaryota; Viridiplantae; Streptophyta; Magnoliopsida; Fabales; Fabaceae. The record is from RefSeq and is a predicted model, not a curated record. The transcript has 2 exons.